Molecule: transfer RNA, 83 nt
Organism: Pseudocercospora fijiensis CIRAD86
Lineage: Eukaryota; Fungi; Ascomycota; Dothideomycetes; Mycosphaerellales; Mycosphaerellaceae
Rfam family: tRNA
About the family: Transfer RNA (tRNA) molecules are approximately 80 nucleotides in length. Their secondary structure includes four short double-helical elements and three loops (D, anti-codon, and T loops).
Source: Rfam
GGGCAAUUGGCGCAGUGGUAGCGCGUCCGCUUUGCAUCUUCUCGAUGUGCGGAAGGACUAGGGUUCGAUCCCCUAAUUGUCCA